AAGAAAGAAGCAUUAGUGGUUGAAUGCGGUUGGCUUGAAACCAGUGUAUGAGGGUUCGAUUCCUUCCUUUCUUG
Molecule: transfer RNA, 74 nt
Filed under: Asio flammeus (short-eared owl)
Lineage: Eukaryota; Metazoa; Chordata; Aves; Strigiformes; Strigidae
Description: tRNA-Ser
Rfam family: tRNA
About the family: Transfer RNA (tRNA) molecules are approximately 80 nucleotides in length. Their secondary structure includes four short double-helical elements and three loops (D, anti-codon, and T loops).
Source: RNAcentral